Molecule: ribosomal RNA, 111 nt
Filed under: uncultured eukaryote
Lineage: Eukaryota
Description: partial small subunit ribosomal RNA
Rfam family: Bacterial small subunit ribosomal RNA
Source: RNAcentral
ACCCGAAGCCGGUGCGCUAACCCAGCAAUGGGAGGCAGCCGACCACGGUCAGGUCAGCGACUGGGGUGAAGUCGUAACAAGGUAGCUGUAGGUGAACCUGCAGAAGGAUCA